GAUGAAGAACGUAGCGAAAUGCGAUAAGUAGUGUGAAUUGCAGAAUUCAGUGAAUCAUCGAAUCUUUGAACGCACAUUGCGCCCCUUGGUAUUCCAUGGGGCAUGCCUGUUCGAGCGUCAUUUCAACCCUCAAGCUCUGCUUGGUAUUGGGCUCCGUCCUCCUCGGACGCGCCUCAAAGACCUCGGCGGUGGCGUCUUGCCUCAAGCGUAGUAGAAACACCUCGCUUUGGAGUGCAUGGCGUCGCCCGCCGGACGAAACCUUUUGUAUUUUCUCAAAGGUUGACCUCGGAUCAGGUAGGGAUACCCGCUGAACUUAAGCAUAUCAAUAAGCGGAGGA
RNAcentral lists this unclassified non-coding RNA (337 nucleotides) under soil metagenome. RNAcentral's name for it is "partial contains 5.8S ribosomal RNA, internal transcribed spacer 2, and large subunit ribosomal RNA". The stretch from base 1 to 120 matches the Rfam family "5.8S ribosomal RNA", at positions 35 to 154 of the family's 154-position model. The record is from RNAcentral.